ACAUUUAUUUUUACAUACCUGAGACGUUCCAGCUUGUCGGCCAUUUUUGUGACAACAAUGUAUAAGAUUUACGAAAAUAACACUAAAAAUUUGCGAAGCUCUGACAGUAUUCGGGUUAUAGUACAGUGACUUUGCAGAGUGCAUACCAGCACAUUUAUAGGUUAAGAAAGUUUCUUCAUUCAACUGGCAGCGUAUAGCUGAAUGAGUUGACCGACGUGAAUUGUCAUUGAAAAAUUAAUUUGCGACGAUCGAAUUAUCGUUCCACAGGAUCUGCGCGUAUUUUUCCUCACACCGUGCAUCAGAAACUGCUCCACAGAACCAUACUGUUGACAACCACAACGAAAUUCAAUCAUCCCCUCUAAGUCUGCCAUGUGACGUCAAGAAUCAACCUGUCGUGUAUAGUACUCUAUAGUCAUUGUCUCUGUCAUUGGACUACGCAGUUGGGUUUGGAUAAGAAACAGAAAAGGAAGCCUCGGCCGGCUUAAAGUGGAAGAAGGAAGGCGAGUAACCGCUGCCAGGAAGCGAGCUCAAGGCGUCGUCGCGAUCACGAAUCACUGUAUCAGGAGCUUCACGACCAAGCGCAGCCAGCUGCCGACCCUUCGGCAGGAACAUCGUCAGGAACACCAGUAGGGAAGUAGUUAACAGUCCAUAGGCCAGCCAGGCCUCUCUGUCGCUUUCCGAGGACGCUGCCACCGAGCCGAUCGCGCUCGAUAUCCAAAUCGGAAGUGAUAAACCAACCGCGAGGCCGAUAAACGCCGCUUCCCGGUUGUUGUCUCGCACACCUCGUGCUCGGACUGCUAAACAUGCCACGGCCACGAGAAGAGCCCCAGGAUACCUGAAAACGAACCAUCGAAAUUCUGAGCGUACCGUGUCUGCAAUACAUGUACGAGGUGCGAUCAUAAACUUCCCGGAAGUUUUAUAAGAUAUAAUCGGAUAAAAUGAUCAAACGUUACCAAGUUAACCGAACUGAAUUUUGUUUAGACCAUUCAAUAGACCACUUAUGGAAAACCCUUUGAGCCCAGUUUCAAGUUGCUACUCCCUCCACAAGGGUUGUUAGAGUUUUUAAUUAAAUUAAUAGAU
Megalopta genalis is the source of this 1080-nucleotide non-coding RNA. Lineage: Eukaryota; Metazoa; Arthropoda; Insecta; Hymenoptera; Halictidae. The record is from RefSeq and is a predicted model, not a curated record.